GGGGCGCCCGAGGGCGGGCUGCCCGCCUCCCGCUGAGGGGCACCUGGCGGCGGGACCGCGCCUCAGCGCCGCCUCGUCCCCCCGGCCGCCCUGCGCCGCCAUCCCUCCUCGCACGACAAGGGGAGAACAACGGGCACCGACGCUGGAGCACAGGCAGAGCUUUGAUUUUGUAAAGGAGCUGUUAUCACUUGAGGUUCGACAGCCACCCCGCCCCUCGCCAAAAGCAGAGUCCACAGGCAUAGAUAGAACCACAGAACGGCUGAGGUUGGAAGAGUUCUCUGGAUGUCAUCUGGUCCCAACCCCUGCUCAAGUACAGCUGUAUAGAUCUGCUGGCCCAAGACAAAGAUUUUGGGCACCUUCAAGAAUGGAGACUACCUCUCUGUGCAUUAUCAGGAACUGGAAAGAAGUCUCCUAGGUGAUCCUCUGGAGCAGGUAUCAACUCUGGAAGCUGGAGAAGCUGCAUGUUGCAUUUAUCAGCUGCUCUCUUCACUCC
Long non-coding RNA from Lagopus muta (rock ptarmigan), 493 nucleotides. RefSeq lists it as uncharacterized. The transcript is spliced from 3 exons. NCBI's taxonomy places the organism in Eukaryota, Metazoa, Chordata, Aves, Galliformes, Phasianidae. The record is from RefSeq and is a predicted model, not a curated record.